UGCCAGCAGCCGCGGUAAUACGAGGGGUGCAAGCGUUAAUCGGAAUUACUGGGCGUAAAGCGCAUGCAGGUGGUCUGGUCAGUCAGAUGUGAAAGCCCCGGGAUCAACCUGGGAAUUGCAUUUGAUACUGCCAGACUAGAGUCUUGUAGAGGGGGGUAGAAUUUCAGGUGUAGCGGUGAAAUGCGUAGAGAUCUGAAGGAAUACCAGUGGCGAAGGCGGCCCCCUGGACAAAGACUGACACUCAGAUGCGAAAGCGUGGGGAGCAAACAGGAUUAGAUA
RNAcentral lists this ribosomal RNA (279 nucleotides) under uncultured bacterium. RNAcentral's name for it is "partial 16S ribosomal RNA". It matches the Rfam family "Bacterial small subunit ribosomal RNA", at positions 506 to 784 of the family's 1533-position model. The record is from RNAcentral.